UUUAACUCUUUUCAGUAGAGACGUUGUCCGUGAAGGUUUGGUCCUGUCUUACAGGAAACUCUCUCACCUGACAUUUUUCGCCUCAAAAAUGGUUUUCAUGGACGGUUUGUCGUUUGAUGAUUGAGCUAUUUUGCUGUGGCUGUUUGCCUGUUUGGGGUGAAGUGGUUCUCCAGUAGAGAUGCGUUGGAAUGGAGCUUGUGCAGACUUGUUUAAUGUAAUCGUAUUGGCUUCAGAGUGUGUCCACCAGGGGGCAAGUUCCUGGUUUUAGCAAAUUGGCAACAUGGCAAGCUUAUGCCGCUGACGUCAUUUCUGUUACGGAUGCUGUGCCGUCAGUUACUGUGUUCGUGGUCAGUCAAUCAGUCAACUUUAACAUUGUUCUUCGCAAAUAUCCUCAAGAUUCAUUAUCAAAAUUUGAAUGCUGAGGUUUUUAAGAUCAGUGCGAGAACUUAACGUUAAUUCCUACAUUCUUUGGGUUUUGCCUGUGGUACACAUCUGUUCUUGUCAUUGGAUGGCUUUUCCCCGUAGGUUUGGUUGGCUAUUUGUUGGAUGGAUUGGUGAAGUUGAGCUUUUUCAAGGCAGUCCACUUCGUUUGAUUUGUUGCGGCCAGCUGGUUAACGGUUUGGUGAGCUGUUGUAUGAAGACAGUGUGCUGUUGUGAUGAGCUUCUGCAUGCAGUCUGUGGUGCUGGUGGGGGAAGUGCUGCAUGCUGUCAAUGGAGUGUGGUGCUAGCUUUAAAUUUGAUGAACUCACUGCUGUAACAAUUGAGUGUUUCCAAAGUCAGUUUGAGUUUAUUUGGUCUGCAGUUCAUGUUUGGGUGGUUUUGUUGCAGCCAGUUGUUGAAAUGGAGUUCCAUGUCAAAUUGAGCUGCAGGUUUUGGAAGUUAUCUACCUUGCUGGUGUCAUCCUGAAGUGGAACAGAAAUGCAGUCGUCUUGGUAUCUUGCAAUGGACUCAUGACGAUCUGAUGUAACUGCCUUGGUGAUAAUGAUGAUCAACCUGCUGUAUGCAGUCCAUGCUGCUGGUGUUCUCCAGAAAUAUUGAAGCAAGACUUGAAACAAAGCUGCAGGAAUAUUUGUAGAAAUGGAUUCUGAAAAUGUUCAGCGGUUUCAUACGCUGAUUUCUGUUCAAGAUUUUAUCCUGAAUUGCGCUGAAGUCCUUGCAGUAACUGAUUCCGGUACCAUCCUGAUGUUGCAGUGCCGAUGAAAUAUGAGUUGAUAAAAAAUUAUCUGUAUUUGUGUUACAUCCUCUUAAUGUGGCAGAAGAUAUUGAUGUUUUUUACUUUUCAGAAUGAUGUGUUGCAACUAAAGUUAUAACUGAUAACUGGUAAUCCUAGAUGAUGAAACCACCUUAACCCUGAUUAGGUCAUAACUUAUUGUUUGUGUAUCAAAAUCAAACCUGUUAUUGUUUUACUUGUAAACUUAUUAUCGAAAUCUUUUUUUACAUAAUGUUAAAUGUUACAAUAAAUGAAAAAAAAAUA
Molecule: long non-coding RNA, 1474 nt
Filed under: Daphnia pulex (common water flea)
Lineage: Eukaryota; Metazoa; Arthropoda; Branchiopoda; Diplostraca; Daphniidae
Description: uncharacterized LOC124194540, transcript variant X11
Source: RNAcentral